Erigeron canadensis is the source of this 1099-nucleotide long non-coding RNA. RefSeq lists it as uncharacterized. The transcript is spliced from 4 exons. The record is from RefSeq and is a predicted model, not a curated record. Lineage: Eukaryota; Viridiplantae; Streptophyta; Magnoliopsida; Asterales; Asteraceae.
UUUACAUAUUUUUUUUCUAUUUUGGUAGAGGUCUAAUAGUUUUUCGAAAACACUAGAAGAAGAAUCAUUUGUGUAAAGGUAUAAGUUUAACAUUCCUUAUAGCAACUCCAAAUCUUUGCUAUUUUGCACCUUUCACUAUGAGUAAAAAUAUAGAUUCAUACCUUAAACUAACUGUGAUGAGAGUCCGGUUAUACCUAGUGAGCAUUCUCAUUCUCAUUGGUUUGUCUAUACUUGAAGAGGGGAUAUAUAAUUGAUUCAUCACGUUAUCAAGAAAUGAGUGAAAAAGAUUACCAUCUCACACCUAUAUUAGAGAGUGCUUUUGCGACAAGUUUUGAGUGGAUGAUGGUGCAGGUAAGAUCUAUGAACACAGUUGUUGGGGUACUAUGUAUGCUUUUUGAAUUUAGUGUUAUCAACAAAAGGAGGAAUGGGAAUCCGGCUAUUACUUAUUGUACCACAUGUAUGAGCUUGUUUUAAGCAAACAAGUCGAAUUCCUUCAAAAUCUUAACUUUUUUAAAGCUUUGGAUUGAUGCACGCCAUUUUGGUAUCUAUGAUAUUCCAUAUAUGACAUCCUUAGCAUUUUACAAAUCCGAUCUCGACGAUGCAGAUGAUGUCACACAAUAGUUCAGGGGCUUCCAACCGAAAGAAAACAAUCUCUUCAACGUAAAUUGGAACCCACCAGUCGAGGUACGAGUUUACCUGAGUUUUUAGAUGGUGAUCAUACUACUUAAAAGAAAGCUAUCAGAAUGACGAGAUCAUCAUCAUAAGGUUUCCGAUUGAGUUUAAAUCUGCCAGUUUACCACUUUGCCUUAGAUUACAAUGAUAUGGUGUAACAUACUAUUGAUCUUAUUAUACUUUGGUAUUAAUCUAUUGAAGCAAUAGACUUGCCUGCUGGGUCGUGUGGAUUGCUGGUUACAUCUUCAAGUCAUGGAUGGAUUCCUGGUGGUAGCGUUGGUCAUUUUUUAUUACGCCAUGCAUUAAUGAUAGGUUAGAUAUGGCUCUGGCUGUUGGUCACCUCUCCUAAUCAUGACCAUUCUAUUCAUGUCACUUUAGACCGAAUUUACAUUUCUUUUGUAAUAGUCUCCCACUUGUUUUUUUUUUU